UGUUUGUGGGCCAAGCCAGGCUUCCAGGGAAAAGGCCUCUGAAGGAUACACUAACAAAACAACAGGGUAAUCUGCGAGCUCCAAGCAUAUCACCUUCCAUCUCCUGCUAGAGGGAUUCUCAUUUAACUAAACCAGAACAAAAUGAAAUGGGGGAAAAUCAGCUAAUUCUUUUGAAGGGGCUUUGUACUGCAAAGGAGUGUCCGGGAGGUGUCCUGAAGUCUUGCAGAAGACAAGCAGAUGCAGAGAGAGACUUCCUAGCAGUUACGCCUGAAGCAGCAAGGUGUGGUAGCAGCAGAUCUGCAGAGUGAAAGAAAGGCAUGGCGCUGUCUUAGCAGACUUCGGAUCUUCUGAGAAGGCUUGCCUCUGGUAUUCCACCCGAGAUCCGAUCUGCAAGUGGAAAAGUUGCCUGGUUCCCACUGAUCACUUUGGAUUUAGGAGCCAAGAGAUGGUGUGCUGGUGGGGCACAGCAGCAGAUGAGAGCGGGGAGAAGUAUAUUUCACCUAGCAGCUGUGACAUGGGUUUCCAUCCCCAGUCUGGCAGGAAGACGUACAGGUUAAAUUUCUAGUUGCCAGCUUUUGCAGUUGUCUUGGAAGAGGUGUCGUGGUAUGUGACAGCCCACUCUCACCAUUGUCUUGCCCUGUGUAAGUGCCCGUAGCAGGAAUCAGACCCCCUCUCAGUCACAUCCAGAAAUGAACACAUCCUGGACAUGGCUUUCCAGCAGUUGCCUCCGGACCUGCGUACUUUAUGGCCCCUUGCACUGCUGCUAGGGCUGUGGCAGCCCUCUGUGGUGUCCUGAGUCCUUUUCAAAGCGAGUCCUUUUCAAAGCAACUCCUUUCCGAGGCAGCGUCCUGUAAGUGUAACCUGUGUUUCUGGUUUUGGAUGUCUUACCUUGCAUUUGACUUUUCAAAUCAUGUUCCACUGGAGUGUGGCCAACUCUCAGUUGUUUCAGAUUGUUGUGUAUUGAUAGUCCAGUCCUGCCUGUUGUUUUCCUACCGCCAAUCAUGUUGGCACCUGCAAACUUCGCCACAACAAGGAUUUUUAUAGCGUCAUUUAGAUCAUUGAUAAAAAUAUUGAAUAAAAUGGUAAUGGGAGUUUCACUCUUCUUUUAUCCCAGAUACUUUUACCCAGUGCAAUAUUGCUGUACAUUUAUUGAAUUGUGUCUACUAGAACAUCCA
Molecule: long non-coding RNA, 1175 nt
Organism: Cuculus canorus (common cuckoo)
Lineage: Eukaryota; Metazoa; Chordata; Aves; Cuculiformes; Cuculidae
Exons: 4
Source: RefSeq, a predicted model, not a curated record